AUGGCAGAACAAAAGGGAGGAAGAGGAAAGCCCAGUUGCCAGGCAGAGAUGGGAAAAGAGAUCUGUGAGCAGAAAUCCUGGCUGGAAACAUCUGUGGAAGGGAAAACACUCAUCAUCUUGGGUCUCCAGUUAAUGUGGCUUAACCUUGAGCCUCAACAUCUUCCAUGGCAGCAGAGCCAAAUGGUGACAUCCUGUGCUGUUCUCUCCAAGGAAAAAUAUGAGCUCCUCGACCCGGAGGUAACUCCGCAGCGCAGAGAUGGAGGGACGACAACCAGAUCCCUUGUGGUCCCACUGGGUCAGCUCACAGUGAAAAACAACAGGUCUGCAAAAUCAGCGUGUAAUUUUGGUGGAAGGAGUUUAACUGUUUGUCCAAGAGGACAUGCAGGGAUUUGGCUGGGACAGACCAACACGGAGGCAAUGGCAAAAGAAUCAAGCACAGAAUGCCAGAUUGGAAGGGACCUCAAGUAUGAAGGGAAGAGACCUCAAGGAUCGUGUUUCCUCAACAAUAAACUCUCCGAACUCCCAAGCAGCGUUUGGCAGCUGAAGUCACGUAGCUGCUGUAGAUCAGCAGAUUCACAGCAAUUGCUUGUGAUGUGA
This 597-nucleotide long non-coding RNA is filed under the name Calidris pugnax (ruff). Its description in RNAcentral is "lncRNA (ENSCPUG00000003686.1)". Lineage: Eukaryota; Metazoa; Chordata; Aves; Charadriiformes; Scolopacidae. The record is from RNAcentral.